UCGCUACUUUCUCUCCCUAUAAUUUUCUCCCUCUAGAUUAUUUCUCUCUCUUCAUGAAUUUUUUUCUCUAGGAUUGAUUCAGUAAAUGGAUUACUUUUAAUAAUUUUGAUCUGAUAUUAGUGAAAAGAAUCCUCAUUUGUGAUCGUUGGGCAGCUUAUCGAUAUUGAUCCUAAUCAGAUUAGAUUUUUCUAGAUUUAGUUAUCCAUAAU
RNAcentral lists this long non-coding RNA (209 nucleotides) under Elaeis guineensis (African oil palm). RNAcentral's name for it is "long non-coding RNA (EGUI_LNC071793)". The record is from RNAcentral. Lineage: Eukaryota; Viridiplantae; Streptophyta; Magnoliopsida; Arecales; Arecaceae.